This 717-nucleotide ribosomal RNA is filed under the name Mycetophyllia lamarckiana. RNAcentral's name for it is "partial 12S small subunit ribosomal RNA". It matches the Rfam family "Bacterial small subunit ribosomal RNA", at positions 312 to 1493 of the family's 1533-position model. Lineage: Eukaryota; Metazoa; Cnidaria; Anthozoa; Scleractinia; Faviidae. The record is from RNAcentral.
UUUCACUGAAACAAGGGAAAACAUUGGCAGCAGUAAAGAAUUUUAUGCAAUAUACGAAAGUAAGACAUAGGCAGAACCUUUGAACCUGUCAAAUUAAGUGCCAGCAGACGCGGUGAAACUUAAGGGUUUGUUUUUUAGAAAAAGCAGAAAGCGUGUAAAGGUAAAACAUUUAAAAUAAAUAGAAUUUUUUUAGUAGUGGGGCAAUGUUAAAAGAAAAAAAAGAAUUUUUUAUGUGAAGACAAUUUAUUUUUUUUCUUUAACACGAAGGUUCUGGGAGCGAACAGGAUUAGAGACCCUGGUAGUCUAUACAGUAAAAGAAAGUCGCUUGAGUAGUACGGUCGCAAGAUUAAAAUUCAAAAAACUUGGCCGUUCAUUGUUAUUUAGAGGAGCGCGUUGCUUAAUUCGAUAGCCCGCGAGUGACCUUACCAAAACUAGCUUUUUCAGGUGUUGCAUGGCCGUCGUCAAUUUAUGUUUGAUACAAUAGAUUAAACCCGAGAAAGGUUGAAGUCAGGUAUUAUUGCCCUUAUGUUUUGGGGUUCAAUGCGCUACAUUUUUUUUUUAAUAAAAAAAAAGAGUUCGGAUUGUCUUUAAAAGAGGAUCAUUAAGAGGGAUUUAAUAGUAAUUGAAAAGUAGAGCGUUUCAAUGAAUUUGCCGCAAUGUUAGUACAAAUUGCCCGUCGCCUUUACUGAGGUAAACAAAGUAGAGUAAGUCGUAACA